AAUAGAUACCCGGGUAGUCCACGCCGUAAACGAUGGAUGCUAGCUAUUGGGGGGAAUCGACCCCCUCCGAAGCGAAGCUAACGCGUUAAGCAUCCCGCCUGAGUAGUACGAGCGCAAGCUUAAAACUCAAAGGAAUUGACGGGGACCCGCACAAGCGGUGGAGCGUGUGGUUUAAUUCGAUGGUAAACGAAGAACCUUACCAAGGUUUGACAUCCCGGUAGCCGUUCUCCGAAAGGAGAAUUUCAUUUAGUUGGACCGGUGACAGGUGAUGCAUGGCCGUCGUCAGCUCGUGUCGUGAGAUGUUGGGUUAAGUCCCGCAACGAGCGCAACCCUUAUGAUUUAGUUGGAUUUUUCUAAACAGACUGCCCUGGUAACAGGGAGGAAGAGGGGAUGAUGUCAGGUCAGUAUUUCCCUUACACCUUGGGCGACACACGCGCUACAAUGGCCGGUACAAUGGGCAGCUAAGCCGCGAGGUGGAGCAAAUCCCAUCAAAGCCGGUCCCAGUUCGGAUUGCAGGCUGAAACCCGCUGCAUGAAGCCGGAAUCGCUAGUAACC
This 555-nucleotide ribosomal RNA is filed under the name uncultured bacterium. Its description in RNAcentral is "bacterial SSU rRNA". It matches the Rfam family "Bacterial small subunit ribosomal RNA", at positions 777 to 1343 of the family's 1533-position model. The record is from RNAcentral.